Molecule: ribosomal RNA, 522 nt
Filed under: uncultured bacterium
Lineage: Bacteria
Description: bacterial SSU rRNA
Rfam family: Bacterial small subunit ribosomal RNA
Source: RNAcentral
CCAGAGAACUUUCCAGAGAUGGAUUGGUGCCUUUCGGGAACUCUGAGACAGGUGCUGCAUGGCUGUCGUCAGCUCGUGUUGUGAAAUGUUGGGUUAAGUCCCGCAACGAGCGCAACCCUUAUCCUUUGUUGCCAGCGGUCCGGCCGGGAACUCAAAGGAGACUGCCAGUGAUAAACUGGAGGAAGGUGGGGAUGACGUCAAGUCAUCAUGGCCCUUACGAGUAGGGCUACACACGUGCUACAAUGGCGCAUACAAAGAGAAGCGACCUCGCGAGAGCAAGCGGACCUCAUAAAGUGCGUCGUAGUCCGGAUUGGAGUCUGCAACUCGACUCCAUGAAGUCGGAAUCGCUAGUAAUCGUGGAUCAGAAUGCCACGGUGAAUACGUUCCCGGGCCUUGUACACACCGCCCGUCACACCAUGGGAGUGGGUUGCAAAAGAAGUAGGUAGCUUAACCUUCGGGAGGGCGCUUACCACUUUGUGAUUCAUGACUGGGGUGAAGUCGUAACAAGGUAGGCGUAGAUGA